CAGGGGAGGGCUCGCUGUGUAGGUCGAGGUGGUAGUGAGGGGAGGGGAGGGAGGGCUGGAGCGGCGGCGGCGGCGCGGACGCUGGGCGGGAGCGGGAGGCGGUGGGGGGUGGUCGGCUCAGCCCGGAGAGGGGGAGGGGGUGUUGGGGCUCGAGGAGGGGCUUGUGCUCGAGCAGGAGACGGAGCCGCUGGGUUUCCAAUAGUUUUUUGGAAAGAGCCUUUACCUUAUGUCAAGUCUACUGCUAAGCCUAUAAUCGCUAAGACUCUAACUGCUCAUACCUCGGUUUUAAGUCCGGGCGGACGAAAGUCCUCUAAAUUUCAAGUCCUUACCACUAUCAAUGUCGACGGGUAAGACAUGACCGUCCUUCUUAUUUCUAAUGUUGUACGUUUCGGAAGAAGUCGUAAGGAGUCCUCAUCCACGUCGUGGAUUAGCUGGCCGUUUUCUAUUUCGUAGCGUGGCACGGGAACGGUUCGUAAACUUCUUACCGCAACGAUUUGGAAGACUGGGUGUCGUCCGUGUCGUUUAACGACAUCUCGGCGUCGUCGGCGUCGUUUAACGACAUCUCGGCGUCGGAGAAGGUUUGUCUGUACUCUUCAAACACACCGGGACCUACCCUCAAGAUCAAUUACAUGGAUGACUUACCUUCCUGCCCGCAGUUCAGCCUCUUUCACCUUUAGCAAACUUCCCCCUUAAUAGCGUUAAAACGGGUGACUUCCAAUAAGGUAAUACCUUAAAAGCUCCAGUAUGUCCCUUACGAUAACAACUCAAACGUUUUUUGACCUUACCAAAGUCUUUACGUGAACGCAAACUUUUCAUGAAACUCCGUCCUCCAACACCGUCUUCCCUGACCUUCGUUUUGUACUUAGUUCCCAGUUUCGAAACACCUACCCAGCGUUCCCGACUUCUAAUGUUAAAAGGCCCCGAUUAACCCCUGGUGAAUUCCUUUUUACGACUGAACUUUUGAUAGCUACUAGAACUCUUACUUCCUUGCGCAUUUUUAUUAUUUGAACAUCGAUUAAAUCGAUUGGUUUAACUCCAGUUCUUAUUCAUAAAUGUCCUCGAACUUGAAUCUAUGUUACUCUGUUGACACAGUGAACUCUUUUACUACCCCGUUUCCCUUGUUGCAGAGGUCCGUAUAUUACUUCUUUAAGCCUUCUACGUCGUCGAUCGAGCGUCUGUAAGACUUUUCUAGUAGCUACUCUUGGUUUUAGACGCAAGUCUUGACCUCAGCUUCUACUCACUUGAUUUACGUUCUAGGUUUCUCGAACUACUGGAACGACGUUUUUCAAGAGUACUGUUUUCAUUAGAACUCGUCCUCUUCGUCUUCUUACGAUAAUUUAGUUUGGUAGAAUUCAACCGUUGUCGCCUUGUUGUCUCUCGACUACUCCUACACCACUUCGAACACUCUCUAGUCUUCUCUCUCUUUCAACGACGAAAUUUGUUCUAGGACCUCAAUCUUGUCGUCAACCUUCGUUUUGUUUGCGAACUUAACCUUUAUGUCGUCGACUUCCCGUUUAACCUUCACUACUUCGUAUACGGUCCAGUACUUCUAAGUCAGAGCUUCCUAUUUUAGUUACUUGAAUCACUCCUCGACGUUCUAUUCUACCUACUUGACCUACGAUACCUCAGUGAAUUGGUUUGAGACCAAUAAUUUCUUUCGUUUUCGUUAUGACUCUACGUUCUUCGAGCCUUCCUCGACCUUUUACCGAACGAAUUAGAAGGUCCACCGGCUCGUGUAUAUCCCUAGUUCUCUUACCCGCUCGAACUAGACUUUCGUCAAAGUUUACAAGAGCCUGUCUUCAACAGCUUUCUCCUACGUCUUCAAUGACGACGGUAGGAAACAAGUUUCACCCUUCGGCUUUAUUUCUUAGGUCUUACCGUGGGAAAAUCCCGACAGUACCAACUACCUUUCCUUUACCUUUCUUAGUUACGACUGCUGCGUUUCGAAGCUCUUAAUUUUCUACUCGUACCGCUUCUUUAUAUAAGCAACCACUGGUUCCGCGACGCACUCAUGUUACAAUUGUCGUGGUCCAUAGGGCAUCCUCUCGACACCUUGAAGUCCCUUCUUGCCUUCCGCAGAGAGUUCCUUCGACAGGUCCACCAGGACUCUGUCACCGCUCGGUUGUCCUCCUUCGCAACUAACUCGGGUUAGUUACAGCGAAGAAAGGAGGACCGGACCUGUAGUCGUAAUAACAACAAACUAUUUAGAGAUCCCUGGUAGAUGGGGUACAACCUGUGUUUAGCUUAUUCUUUAUUAGGACAACAACGUCAUCAUCAUAGUAAUCACUUUCAGAGAUAGGUAGACACAUCUGUUCGAACUUAUUUCUGAACGUCAUCAUAGUCGUGGACGUUCGUGCGGUAGCUGGGCUAGUAGCCGCAGACAACCAUUCGCGGCGACAUACGAAACAACAGAAUUCAACGACUAUCAUUAAGUCUCCUCACAAACAAACAACAGACUUAAUUACUACUACCGUAGGACAUAUUCACAUCUACAUCCUUACGUGUAACAUACGUACUGCUCAUUCGAAUGAACACUCGUUCGAACAGACUUGACCCGGAUCUACGUAACUACGUCCUUCACACGAGUGCCAAGAUCCUUCCAGUU
RNAcentral lists this ribosomal RNA (2605 nucleotides) under Triticum aestivum (bread wheat). RNAcentral describes it as "partial small subunit ribosomal RNA". Lineage: Eukaryota; Viridiplantae; Streptophyta; Magnoliopsida; Poales; Poaceae. The record is from RNAcentral.